CCAAUAGCGUAUAUUAAAGUUGUUGCAGUUAAAAAGCUCGUAGUUGAAUUUCGGGACCAAUUUGUUGGUCGUGCCUCGGUACGUACUGGUAUUAUUGGUUUCUCCCUUCUGAAGAACCUCGAUGCCAUUAAUUUGGUGUCGUGGGGAAUCAGGACUGUUACUUUGAAAAAAUUAGAGUGUUUAAAGCAAGCAUACGCUUGAAUACAUUAGCAUGGAAUAAUGAAAUAGGACGUUUGAUUCUAUUUUGUUGGUUUCUAGGAUCGACGUAAUGAUUAAUAGGGAUAGUUGGGGGCAUUAGUAUUCAAUUGUCAGAGGUGAAAGUCUUGGAUUUAUUGAAGACUAACUACUGCGAAAGCAUUUGCCAAGGAUGUUUUCAUUAAUCAAGAACGAAAGUUAGGGGAUCGAAGACGAUCAGAUACCGUCGUAGUCUUAACCAUAAACUAUGCCGACUAGGGAUCGGAUGAUGUUAAUUUUUUAAUGACUCAUUCGGCGCCUUACG
RNAcentral lists this unclassified non-coding RNA (499 nucleotides) under uncultured Glomeromycotina. RNAcentral's name for it is "SSU rRNA". It matches the Rfam family "Eukaryotic small subunit ribosomal RNA", at positions 591 to 1092 of the family's 1831-position model. The record is from RNAcentral. Lineage: Eukaryota; Fungi; Glomeromycota.